This 70-nucleotide transfer RNA is filed under the name Loxodonta africana (African savanna elephant). It matches the Rfam family "tRNA". From Rfam's summary of the family: Transfer RNA (tRNA) molecules are approximately 80 nucleotides in length. Their secondary structure includes four short double-helical elements and three loops (D, anti-codon, and T loops). Lineage: Eukaryota; Metazoa; Chordata; Mammalia; Proboscidea; Elephantidae. The record is from Rfam by way of RNAcentral.
GCAUUGGUGGUUCAGUGGUAGAAUUCUCAUCUUCCAUGUGAAAGACUCAGGUAGAUUCCCAGUUAAUGCA